Molecule: ribosomal RNA, 294 nt
Filed under: uncultured bacterium
Lineage: Bacteria
Description: partial 16S ribosomal RNA
Rfam family: Bacterial small subunit ribosomal RNA
Source: RNAcentral
UUGGCCUACGGGACGCAGCAGUGGGGAAUAUUGCACAAUGGGCGAAAGCCUGAUGCAGCAACGCCGCGUGAAGGAAGAAGGGUUUCGGCUCGUAAACUUCUAUCAACAGGGACGAAAGAAAUGACGGUACCUGAAUAAGAAGCCCCGGCUAACUACGUGCCAGCAGCCGCGGUAAUACGUAGGGGGCAAGCGUUAUCCGGAAUUACUGGGUGUAAAGGGUGAGUAAGCGGCAUGGUAAGCCAGAUGUGAAAGCCUUGGGCUUAACCCGCGGAUCGCAUUUGGAACUAUCAAGCU